RNAcentral lists this long non-coding RNA (410 nucleotides) under Chloebia gouldiae (Gouldian finch). Its description in RNAcentral is "Erythrura gouldiae (Gouldian finch) lncRNA (ENSEGOG00005005569.1)". The record is from RNAcentral. Lineage: Eukaryota; Metazoa; Chordata; Aves; Passeriformes; Passeridae.
UCUGAAAAAAAAAGAGAACGAAAUGAUUGUUCCUGUUCUCCUUCUUAAGUCAUUUGAAACAUUGUCCCUGCUAGUUUUCUAAGUUUACUGCAAUCUCUGCACGGGGGGAGGGAGACAGCGGGAGAGACAGAUAUUACAAAUAUCAGAGCAGGUAGUGUUUAGGGCAAGACUCCUUCCAGCUUCAACAACUGGUUUUUCCAUAAGAAGGAAUGAUCUACCACAAAUUCAGCCCAGUUUCUGGGACUGGUCCUGUGAUGCCUGUAGCUGUGGCCAGUGGAAUAAGCCCAUAUGCUCAGUGAAAGCAGUCAAAGGUUAGUAGCCCAAGGAAAAUAUUUCUUUCUAGUAAAUUCAGUGGGUUCUACAACUGUGUUCCAGAAAAAGUGAAACUUUGCACAAAACUGUGUGUGGAA